This 253-nucleotide ribosomal RNA is filed under the name uncultured bacterium. RNAcentral's name for it is "partial 16S ribosomal RNA". It matches the Rfam family "Bacterial small subunit ribosomal RNA", at positions 524 to 776 of the family's 1533-position model. The record is from RNAcentral.
UACGUAGGGGGCAAGCGUUGUCCGGAUUUAUUGGGCGUAAAGAGCGUGUAGGCGGCCAUGUAGGUCCGUUGUGAAAACUCGAGGCUCAACCUCGAGACGCCGAUGGAAACCAUCUGGCUAGAGUCCGGAAGAGGAGAGUGGAAUUCCCGGUGUAGCGGUGAAAUGCGCAGAUAUCGGGAAGAACACCCGUGGCUAAGGCGGCUCUCUAGUACGGUACUGACGCUGAGACGCGAAAGCGUGGGGAGCGAACAGG